This 1116-nucleotide ribosomal RNA is filed under the name Fictibacillus nanhaiensis. Its description in RNAcentral is "bacterial SSU rRNA". It matches the Rfam family "Bacterial small subunit ribosomal RNA", at positions 34 to 1141 of the family's 1533-position model. The record is from RNAcentral. Lineage: Bacteria; Bacillati; Bacillota; Bacilli; Caryophanales; Fictibacillaceae.
CGUGGGGGGGGGGGGGUAUACAUGCAAGUCGAGCGAAUGAUGAGGAGCUUGCUCCUCUGAUUUAGCGGCGGACGGGUGAGUAACACGUGGGUAAUCUGCCUGUAAGACGGGGAUAACUCCGGGAAACCGGGGCUAAUACCGGAUAAUAAGAGAAGAAGCAUUUCUUCUUUUUGAAAGUCGGUUUCGGCUGACACUUACAGAUGAGCCCGCGGCGCAUUAGCUAGUUGGUGAGGUAACGGCUCACCAAGGCGACGAUGCGUAGCCGACCUGAGAGGGUGAUCGGCCACACUGGGACUGAGACACGGCCCAGACUCCUACGGGAGGCAGCAGUAGGGAAUCUUCGGCAAUGGGCGAAAGCCUGACCGAGCAACGCCGCGUGAGCGAUGAAGGCCUUCGGGUCGUAAAGCUCUGUUGUUAGAGAAGAACAAGUACGAGAGUAACUGCUCGUACCUUGACGGUACCUAACCAGAAAGCCACGGCUAACUACGUGCCAGCAGCCGCGGUAAUACGUAGGUGGCAAGCGUUAUCCGGAAUUAUUGGGCGUAAAGCGCGCGCAGGCGGUCUCUUAAGUCUGAUGUGAAAGCCCACGGCUCAACCGUGGAGGGUCAUUGGAAACUGGGAGACUUGAGUGCAGGAGAGAAAAGUGGAAUUCCACGUGUAGCGGUGAAAUGCGUAGAGAUGUGGAGGAACACCAGUGGCGAAGGCGGCUUUUUGGCCUGUAACUGACGCUGAGGCGCGAAAGCGUGGGGAGCAAACAGGAUUAGAUACCCUGGUAGUCCACGCCGUAAACGAUGAGUGCUAGGUGUUGGGGGGUUCCACCCUCAGUGCUGAAGUUAACACAUUAAGCACUCCGCCUGGGGAGUACGACCGCAAGGUUGAACUCAAGGAAUUGACGGGGGCCCGCACAAGCAGUGGAGCAUGUGGUUUAAUUCGAAGCAACGCGAGACUUUACCAGUCUUGACAUCCUUUGACACUCUAGAGAUAGAGCUUUCCCCUUUCGGGGACAAAGUGACAGUUGUGCAUGAUGUCGUCAGCUCUGUCGUUGAGAUGGUGGCUAGGUCCCGCAACCGAGCCGCAACCUUGAACCUUAGUUUGUCCAAGCACAUUCCAGAUUUG